RNAcentral lists this transfer RNA (76 nucleotides) under Pontixanthobacter rizhaonensis. Its description in RNAcentral is "Altererythrobacter sp. RZ02 tRNA-Thr". It matches the Rfam family "tRNA". Rfam says of the family: Transfer RNA (tRNA) molecules are approximately 80 nucleotides in length. Their secondary structure includes four short double-helical elements and three loops (D, anti-codon, and T loops). Further hydrogen bonds mediate the characteristic L-shaped molecular structure. tRNAs have two regions of fundamental functional importance: the anti-codon, which is responsible for specific mRNA codon recognition, and the 3' end, to which the tRNAs corresponding amino acid is attached (by aminoacyl-tRNA synthetases). tRNAs cope with the degeneracy of the genetic code in two manners: having more than one tRNA (with a specific anti-codon) for a particular amino acid; and 'wobble' base-pairing, i.e. permitting non-standard base-pairing at the 3rd anti-codon position. RNAcentral also lists the same sequence under 2 other names. Lineage: Bacteria; Pseudomonadati; Pseudomonadota; Alphaproteobacteria; Sphingomonadales; Erythrobacteraceae. The record is from RNAcentral.
GCCGGCUUAGCUCAGUUGGUAGAGCAGUUGAUUUGUAAUCAUCAGGCCACGCGUUCGAAUCGUGUAGCCGGCACCA